This 632-nucleotide ribosomal RNA is filed under the name Salmonella enterica subsp. enterica serovar Litchfield. Its description in RNAcentral is "partial 23S ribosomal RNA". It matches the Rfam family "Bacterial large subunit ribosomal RNA", at positions 2210 to 2836 of the family's 2925-position model. Lineage: Bacteria; Pseudomonadati; Pseudomonadota; Gammaproteobacteria; Enterobacterales; Enterobacteriaceae. The record is from RNAcentral.
AUGUUUGAUGUUCUAACGUGGACCCGUAAUCCGGGUUGCGGACAGUGUCUGGUGGGUAGUUUGACUGGGGCGGUCUCCUCCUAAAGAGUAACGGAGGAGCACGAAGGUUGGCUAAUCCUGGUCGGACAUCAGGAGGUUAGUGCAAUGGCAUAAGCCAGCUUGACUGCGAGCGUGACGGCGCGAGCAGGUGCGAAAGCAGGUCAUAGUGAUCCGGUGGUUCUGAAUGGAAGGGCCAUCGCUCAACGGAUAAAAGGUACUCCGGGGAUAACAGGCUGAUACCGCCCAAGAGUUCAUAUCGACGGCGGUGUUUGGCACCUCGAUGUCGGCUCAUCACAUCCUGGGGCUGAAGUAGGUCCCAAGGGUAUGGCUGUUCGCCAUUUAAAGUGGUACGCGAGCUGGGUUUAGAACGUCGUGAGACAGUUCGGUCCCUAUCUGCCGUGGGCGCUGGAGAACUGAGGGGGGCUGCUCCUAGUACGAGAGGACCGGAGUGGACGCAUCACUGGUGUUCGGGUUGUCAUGCCAAUGGCACUGCCCGGUAGCUAAAUGCGGAAGAGAUAAGUGCUGAAAGCAUCUAAGCACGAAACUUGCCCCGAGAUGAGUUCUCCCUGAGACUUAGAGUCUCCUGAAGGAAC